UACAGAGGGUGCAAGCGUUAAUCGGAAUUACUGGGCGUAAAGGGUGCGUAGGAGGUUUGAUAAGUUAGGUGUGAAAUUCCUGGGCUUAACCUGGGGACUGCGCCUAAUACUGUUAAGCUAGAGUGUUGUAGAGGAAGGUGGAAUUUCCAGUGUAGCGGUGAAAUGCGUAGAUAUUGGAAGGAACAUCGGUGGCGAAGGCGACCUUCUGGACAACGACUGACACUGAGGCACGAAAGCGUGGGUAGCAAACAGG
This 253-nucleotide ribosomal RNA is filed under the name uncultured bacterium. RNAcentral's name for it is "partial 16S ribosomal RNA". It matches the Rfam family "Bacterial small subunit ribosomal RNA", at positions 524 to 776 of the family's 1533-position model. The record is from RNAcentral.